AUAAGAUAAGAUAAGAUAAGAUAAUUUUAUUUACCAAUCAUGGUGCCCAAAAUUUGAGCUAUACAAUCAAAUGAAUUACAAAAUAAAGCACAGAAAAUGAUUAGAAUGAUUAAAGUACAUUUAAACAAAAAAAAAACCACAUGAAUACACAUUUACACUAAUUAACCUGAUAUAAACCAAGUUAUUGACAAAACAUAGUUGUUAUGGGUGCCACUGUGACCUGGAGAAAUUACAUAAAUCUUUAUAGUUCUAGGUCUAUGGGAGACAACUCCUGAUCAAUUUUAUUUCCUAUAUAUAUAUAUCUAUAUAUAUUUUUUUCUUCUAUUUUUUUUUUUAUUUCAAACAACAAUAUUUUCUAUAAUUUUCUUUCGUUCUUCAAAAAGGGAGUGCAAUAAAUUAGAUAAGUUUGAAGUAACAAACAAAUCUUCAGAUGAAAGAAUCCAAACAAAUUUCAUUUCAUCAGAUAAUCUUGAAAAAUUUUUGAAUUUUGAAUUUAAAUUAGAUAGAUGUUGAGAUCGAGUAUCUUUUAGAACAGGACAUUUUAAAAGAAAAUGUAGUUCGUCUUCAAC
RNAcentral lists this long non-coding RNA (569 nucleotides) under Mytilus galloprovincialis (Mediterranean mussel). Lineage: Eukaryota; Metazoa; Mollusca; Bivalvia; Mytilida; Mytilidae. The record is from RNAcentral.